This 210-nucleotide unclassified non-coding RNA is filed under the name Hevea brasiliensis (rubber tree). The record is from RNAcentral. Lineage: Eukaryota; Viridiplantae; Streptophyta; Magnoliopsida; Malpighiales; Euphorbiaceae.
GUUUGCCCGCCACGGAAACAAAGGAAGACUGCCACAGAUUCAGUUCAAGCAGCUAUGGAGGAAGAUGCUCCUGGACUCUUGCAGGUAUUACUUGAAAAAGGUGUAAGCAUCGAUGAGAUGAAGCUUUAUGGGAAAAAUGCGAGUAAUGAGCCUCUUGAUGAUUUGUCCUCUGAAAAGAACUUCUCAGAGCUUCAAGCUGUUAUAUCUAAG